Molecule: ribosomal RNA, 253 nt
Filed under: uncultured bacterium
Lineage: Bacteria
Description: partial 16S ribosomal RNA
Rfam family: Bacterial small subunit ribosomal RNA
Source: RNAcentral
UACGGAGGGUGCAAGCGUUAUCCGGAUUCACUGGGUUUAAAGGGUGCGUAGGCGGGAUGGCAAGUCGGUCGUGAAAUCCCUCGGCUCAACCGAGGAACGUCGAUCGAUACUGCUGUUCUUGAGGAUUGCAGAGGAGACUGGAAUUCCCGGUGUAGCGGUGAAAUGUGUAGAGAUCGGGAGGAACACCGGUGGCGAAGGCGGGUCUCUGGGCAGUAACUGACGCUGAGGAGCGAAAGCGUGGGGAGCGAACAGG